AGCGAACGCUGGCGGCAGGCUUAACACAUGCAAGUCGAGCGGGCACCUUCGGGUGUCAGCGGCAGACGGGUGAGUAACACGUGGGAACGUGCCCUUUGGUUCGGAACAACUCCGGGAAACUGGAGCUAAUACCGGAUAAGCCCUUCGGGGAAAGAUUUAUCGCCAAAGGAUCGGCCCGCGUCUGAUUAGCUAGUUGGUAAGGUAAUGGCUUACCAAGGCGACGAUCUGUAGCCGACCUGAGAGGGUGGCGGUCACACUGACACUGAAUAACGGGUCAGACUCCUACGGGAGGCAGCAGUCGGGAAUUUUGGGCAAUGGGCGAAAGCCUGACCCAGCAACGCCGCGUGAAGGAUGAAGUC
This 359-nucleotide ribosomal RNA is filed under the name uncultured bacterium. Its description in RNAcentral is "bacterial SSU rRNA". It matches the Rfam family "Bacterial small subunit ribosomal RNA", at positions 29 to 415 of the family's 1533-position model. The record is from RNAcentral.